UUUACAUCUUUGUCAUGGCUAUUACAUUAUUGUUCAAUUUUCUUUCAAACUACCCAAGUUCUCAUGUUCCUUAUCCUUGGCAACGAGUUCUUGAUAUCCCGUCGAAUCUUCUUUACUACUAUCACCUUGAGACUGGAUUGGUGAUUUACGAUUUUAGGCCUUUUGUGAAUUUUGGAGAAGGUGUUUUCAUGGAGAAUGAUAUUGGGUUUAAUUUCACAGACCAAGAAGUUUGUCAGCAAUUAAACAACGACUAUGAAAAUUUUCUGAACGCUCCAAGUCUUCUUCUUUUCUGUUGUGCAUGCAGUGGUAAAACUUACUAUGGCGUUGUAGAACAACCAAUAGUUCGAUGCCCAUUGUGCAAGUGUAUAACUAUGAUGUCACCAUGAUUUUGUUGUGGACUAAAAUGUUCGGAGAAUGAGUUGAUGGAAAGCAAAGAAGUUCUGGAUGGGCUGAAGGUCUAAGGAAGAAAAUUAAAUGGAUUGAAGACUGUAUGUGACUGAAAGUAUUACUUUUAUUUAAUGUAUUAGAGUAUAAGAUGAUGACAUUUGUAUGUUGUCAUUAAUUUAGAUUGUUGUUUAAUG
Molecule: long non-coding RNA, 581 nt
Organism: Vigna angularis (adzuki bean)
Lineage: Eukaryota; Viridiplantae; Streptophyta; Magnoliopsida; Fabales; Fabaceae
Exons: 3
Source: RefSeq, a predicted model, not a curated record